CAAGGCUCCUCUUAUUCAUUUUAUUGAGAUGUUCCCUGUGGUGGGUAACAGAUGUUGGAGAAUGACAUAGGUCACCUGGAAAACUCCCAAGAUUAGAUUCUUCUGUUGCACCAUUGCUAUAUCCUAGGGGAUCUCAUUCCUUUCCAGUCUGAUCCACUCCAUAUUUUACAUCACAACAGCAAAGUAACACACGUGGGAAAGGGAAUAAACUUAUAUUCUUAGAUGUACAAAACAUUAUUGUGAAAUGUAAUAUAAUGCCGUCUUUGUUUCCUCCACAGAAAAACUGGAUCUGAAAGUCCGGCUCAGUGAGUUAUCUGACAAAGUGACGGAAAUAGAAGACCCCAAUGAUCUGGCAGACGCAAUAAAUAGCAGCCUAAUAGAACUAUCAGCUCAACUUCUCAAUCUGUGGGGAAAAUUUCUUCAAUCCUCCUUCGAGAGUGAACAAGAGAAGAAGCAAAUAAAGGAAGAAAAGUUCAAGAAAUUAUUCUUUUCUACUGACCAUCCCCAACAAGAAGCUAUUUUAUAUGAUGAGAAGAUAACCGAAAGCCACAAAGAGAUUUAUGAAAAAGUCAAAAAAGCUCCAAAAGAUGAUUGUCUCGAGUGCCGGGACACGGACAUGGUAUCAAAAUCUGCCCCCGUUGUCUUUGAAGACCGGUACUUAGAGCCUGAAGCAAUAGGUACGUAUGGAAAGAAUCCACAGGUGCUGCUGCCUCAGUGUGUGACAGUUGUUCAUCCAGAACUCCUUCCAUUCAUUAUUAUCUAUUAAAUACGUAUUUCUAAAG
Long non-coding RNA from Xenopus laevis (African clawed frog), 782 nucleotides. RefSeq lists it as uncharacterized. The record is from RefSeq and is a predicted model, not a curated record. NCBI's taxonomy places the organism in Eukaryota, Metazoa, Chordata, Amphibia, Anura, Pipidae. The transcript is spliced from 4 exons.